Molecule: ribosomal RNA, 1320 nt
Filed under: Bacillus sp. enrichment culture clone RS3
Lineage: Bacteria; Bacillati; Bacillota; Bacilli; Caryophanales; Bacillaceae
Description: bacterial SSU rRNA
Rfam family: Bacterial small subunit ribosomal RNA (bases 1-978)
Source: RNAcentral
GCGUACGUGUCGGAUUAUUGGGCGUAAGCGCGCGCAGGCGGUUCCUUAAGUCUGAUGUGAAAGCCCCCGGCUCAACCGGGGAGGGUCAUUGGAAACUGGGGAACUUGAGUGCAGAAGAGGAGAGCGGAAUUCCACGUGUAGCGGUGAAAUGCGUAGAGAUGUGGAGGAACACCAGUGGCGAAGGCGGCUCUCUGGUCUGUAACUGACGCUGAGGCGCGAAAGCGUGGGGAGCGAACAGGAUUAGAUACCCUGGUAGUCCACGCCGUAAACGAUGAGUGCUAAGUGUUAGAGGGUUUCCGCCCUUUAGUGCUGCAGCAAACGCAUUAAGCACUCCGCCUGGGGAGUACGGCCGCAAGGCUGAAACUCAAAGGAAUUGACGGGGGCCCGCACAAGCGGUGGAGCAUGUGGUUUAAUUCGAAGCAACGCGAAGAACCUUACCAGGUCUUGACAUCCUCUGACAACCCUAGAGAUAGGGCGUUCCCCUUCGGGGGACAGAGUGACAGGUGGUGCAUGGUUGUCGUCAGCUCGUGUCGUGAGAUGUUGGGUUAAGUCCCGCAACGAGCGCAACCCUUGAUCUUAGUUGCCAGCAUUCAGUUGGGCACUCUAAGGUGACUGCCGGUGACAAACCGGAGGAAGGUGGGGAUGACGUCAAAUCAUCAUGCCCCUUAUGACCUGGGCUACACACGUGCUACAAUGGAUGGAACAAAGGGCAGCGAAGCCGCGAGGUGAAGCCAAUCCCAUAAAUCCAUUCUCAGUUCGGAUUGCAGGCUGCAACUCGCCUGCAUGAAGCCGGAAUCGCUAGUAAUCGCGGAUCACAUGCCGCGCGGUGUAAUAUACGUUCCCGGGCCUUGUACACACCGCCCGUCACACCACGAGAGUUUGUAACACCCGAAGUCGGUGGGGUAACCUUUUGGAGCCAGCCGCCUAAGUGGGACAGAUGAUUGGGGUGAUGUAAAAAAAUAAUGUAACGCUUUCGUUUUUUUGGCCGGGAGAGAGCGGGGUAUUCCCCAGUGUUUUGUGCCUCUGCGGCGGAGGUUUGUGGUCGUCGCGCGCGUCUUUUCACCCGCGAGGGUGUGUCUCGACAAUAUUUUUUUUGUGGAAAAUAGUGACGCGCCGGCGCGCCGAUGAAUGGUGGUAGGGGCUCCGGCUCACUGCGAGCAGAGUACAUGCCGCUGAUUCGCGGCUGGCGGCUCGCGUCGCUGCUGAGUUACGAAUGACUGACCAUACUCACACGAUAAUGAUAGGUCGUCGUAACUGAGUCUGCUACUGUCGAUCGCUGCAUGCUACGUGCAUAGCAGUACAUGCGAUGCAUUCUAUCCU